RNAcentral lists this ribosomal RNA (794 nucleotides) under Tryella willsi. Its description in RNAcentral is "SSU rRNA". It matches the Rfam family "Eukaryotic small subunit ribosomal RNA", at positions 964 to 1760 of the family's 1831-position model. The record is from RNAcentral. Lineage: Eukaryota; Metazoa; Arthropoda; Insecta; Hemiptera; Cicadidae.
AUGUUCCCGUUAAUCAAGANNGAAAGUUAGAGGUUCGAAGGCGAUCAGAUACCGCCCUAGUUCUAACCAUAAACGAUGCCAGCCAGCGAUCCGCCGAAGUUCCUCCGAUGACUCGGCGGGCAGCUUCCGGGAAACCAAAGCUUUUGGGUUCCGGGGGAAGUAUGGUUGCAAAGCUGAAACUUAAAGGAAUUGACGGAAGGGCACCACCAGGAGUGGAGCCUGCGGCUUAAUUUGACUCAACACGGGAAACCUCACCAGGCCCGGACACCGGAAGGAUUGACAGAUUGAGAGCUCUUUCUUGAUUCGGUGGGUGGUGGUGCAUGGCCGUUCUUAGUUGGUGGAGCGAUUUGUCUGGUUAAUUCCGGUAACGAACGAGACUCUAGCCUGCUAAAUAGACGAUUUCCGGUAUCCACAAUAGUGCUACCGGCGAAAUCAAUAUCUUCUUAGAGGGACAGGCGGCUUUCAGCCGCACGAAACUGAGCAAUAACAGGUCUGUGAUGCCCUUAGAUGUCCUGGGCCGCACGCGCGCUACACUGAAGGAAUCAGCGUGUAUACCCUGGCCGAAAGGCUCGGGCAACCCGUUGAACCUCCUUCGUGCUAGGGAUUGGGGCUUGCAAUUGUUCCCCAUGAACGAGGAAUUCCCAGUAAGCGCGAGUCAUAAGCUCGCGUUGAUUACGUCCCUGCCCUUUGUACACACCGCCCGUCGCUACUACCGAUUGAAUGAUUUAGUGAGGUCUUCGGACUGGUGCGCGGCGGCCGCAUCCGCGGCCGCCGAUGCCACCGGGAAGAUGACC